Molecule: long non-coding RNA, 1363 nt
Filed under: Gallus gallus (chicken)
Lineage: Eukaryota; Metazoa; Chordata; Aves; Galliformes; Phasianidae
Description: lncRNA (ENSGALG00010022423.1)
Source: RNAcentral
GGCUCUCCCUGCAUCCCCCCUCUGGGGCUGGCAAUCCCCUCCCUCCAGCUCCAGGGCUGAGCAUCCCUCCUGCCCAAAGUCCCUUCCUCAGGCUGCGGGCAGGCUGCAGGGCAGCAGUUCCCCAGUUCCUCUGCCCGCCGUGCUGCCUGCAGAUCCCCAGCACCGUGCCUGCCUUGGAGGGCAUCCAGCACGCUCACUGCAACCCCAGACAAACAAACAGCAGUUGUGCAAGGGUGCGGGGCAGGCAUCUCCGGCAGGAAACAAAGCGCAGGACUUGCUCUAUUUUAAUCCUGCCAAGGGUCUUCUUGGAAGCGAGGCAGAGCCCGGCUGUGCAGAGUUAAGAAUGAAACCCUAUUUUUAGCCUGUCCCCGGUGAGAACCACAGAGCAUCUGGGGCUGAGUGAGCAACCUCACUGCAAAACCCAACUGGGAGAGAUGGAGCGAGCGCUGCGGGGACUUCGGGAGGCAUGUCUGCAGGUAUCCGAGCACUGCUGCUUUUCAAAGCCAAAGGACUGCUGUUAAUAUUCAUGGGAAGGAAGAUGAAAAGGCACUGGAGGAGGGAGCGCGUGGCGGGGUACCGAGGAAGUCCCAGCAUGUUUUAUCCUGUGCUUGCAGCAGAGAGAGGAAGGCUCGCGGUCCGAGUGCAGCUGCUCUGUGCUAUAGAUUGCACUCCCAGAUUGUCUUCCUGCCAGCUGCCCCCAACGCCAAACCGAAGGCUCCAGUGGGAAGAAGUGCUAAUUUAAGGAGCUCUCUCUGAAGCAAAGGCUCUUCACCCAGGAAGCCCAGCACAGCUCAAAUUAGCUUUGCUGCUGGCAACCUCAGCUGUAAAGCCAUGGUCUGAAACAGAAACACCUCCAGUCGGGAUCUCUCCUCAAUAAAAACUUAAUUUGCUGCUGCUUUGCCAUUCCCUUGCAAUGAUUUCAGAGGCCCCUGUGUAUGGAUCUGUCAAGAAGCAAAAUGCCAAGACAAAUUUAAAAGCAGCUUUAAAAUUACCUUGAAUCUAUACCGUUUGAUUGCUUUGCUGAUAAGAAAAACACUGAAUGAUUCCUAUCAGGAAAUCAAAAAACCAAUCAGAUUUCAGCUGUCUUCUCGGAGAGGCGCAGCGCAUCGGGGUUAGGAGCGAUGCAGCAGAAAUACCCUUCCAGGGGUCUUCCUGGUGACACACUGCAGGGGAGGGUGAGCCGGCCAAGAAUUCUCCUCCAGCUAUUUGUGGGUUUGUGCCACUGCGCUGCAAUAGUCCUCAGCUGCUUCUGUGUAUUUCUAAAGCUUCCCUCAGCUGUGUGUGUGAAAGCUGAGCACGAAACCCACCCAUCGGUUUGGCAUUUGGCUUCACCUGUCUCAGUGCGUCUGUACCACUGGAGCAC